AAGCAUUCUCAGUUUCAUCCAGGA
This 24-nucleotide unclassified non-coding RNA is filed under the name Mus musculus (house mouse). RNAcentral's name for it is "oocyte_clustered_small_RNA1033". The record is from RNAcentral. Lineage: Eukaryota; Metazoa; Chordata; Mammalia; Rodentia; Muridae.